This 443-nucleotide ribosomal RNA is filed under the name uncultured bacterium. Its description in RNAcentral is "partial 16S ribosomal RNA". It matches the Rfam family "Bacterial small subunit ribosomal RNA", at positions 338 to 795 of the family's 1533-position model. The record is from RNAcentral.
CCUACGGGAGGCAGCAGUGGGGAAUAUUGGGCAAUGGGCGCAAGCCUGACCCAGCAACGCCGCGUGAAGGAAGAAGGCUUUCGGGUUGUAAACUUCUUUUCUUAGGGACGAAGCAAGUGACGGUACCUGAGGAAUAAGCCACGGCUAACUACGCGCCAGCAGCCGCGGUAAUACGUAGGUGGCAAGCGUUAUCCGGAUUUACUGGGUGUAAAGGGCGGGUAGGCGGGAAAGCAAGUCAGAUGUGAAAACCAUGGGCUCAACCUGUGGCCUGCAUUUGAAACUGUUUUUCUUGAGUACUGGAGAGGCAGGCGGAAUGCCUAGUGUAGCGGUGAAAUGCGUAGAUAUUAGGAGGAACACCAGUGGCGAAGGCGGUCUGCUGGACAGCAACUGACGCUGAGGCGCGAAAGCGUGGGGAGCAAACAGGAUUAGAUACCCGGGUAGUC